Molecule: ribosomal RNA, 1092 nt
Filed under: Triticum aestivum (bread wheat)
Lineage: Eukaryota; Viridiplantae; Streptophyta; Magnoliopsida; Poales; Poaceae
Description: partial small subunit ribosomal RNA
Source: RNAcentral
AUGAAUGUCUUAAGCUGGAACUGCCGGGGAGGGGGGAAUACCCGGACAGUUCAUGAGUUAGCGACUAUCUGUCAGUCGCAUUCCCCCAGUAUAGUGUUUUUGUGUGAAACAAGACAUAAGGCUGAGAAAAUAAAAAAGGUGUGUGGGAGGAUUGGUUUGAAGGGUUUUGUUGGGGUUGACAGUAAUGGUAUGAGUGGUGGUCUCGCUCUUUUUUGGCAUGAGAACUACGAAGUGGAGAUCUUGGAUAAAGAAAAACACUUUAUAGAUGCAGUGGUCCGUGUCCAGGAGGGGUCGGCGCAAUGGAGGAUCACUUGUAUUUAUGGUGAACCACGGGUAGAAAACAGGCACAUCAUGUGGUAAAAAAUCGAGCAGUUAAAAGUUGUGAAUGACCUACCUUGGCUUGUAGUCGGCGACUUCAACGAGGCCAUGUGGGACUUUGAACAUCUAUCUGCUACACCGCGUGGAGAGCCACAAAUGAUUGCUUUUCGGGAUACGUUGGAGACCUGUGGCCUAGUUGACCUUGGCUUCGUUGGUGUUCCCUUCACAUAUGAUAAUAAGAGGGGAGGAGGAGGUAAUGUGAAGGUAAGGCUGGACAGGGCAGUUGCAACUAAUGCGUGGAGGAACUUGUUUGCAUAUGCUACAGUGGUGCAUGUUCCUUCGCCUUGUUCAGAUCAUGUGGCCCUUGUCCUAAAGGGUUCGGCCGAUCCGGGGCCGCUAGGUGGAAAGCAGAGGAGGUAUGAGGUGUUUUGGGAGCGUGAUGAGUCACUACCUGAGGUGAUAAAGGAGGCCUGGGAAGCAGUGGGGGGAGUUCAUAAUAUGUCUCAGUUGCGGGACGCUCUGUCUAAAACAAUGACAACUCUCAGGGUUUGGAGCAAAAAAAUUAGUAAUAUCACCAGAGAGAUUGCCAAGUCCCGCACUCAGCUAGAGGAGUUGAUGAAUAUGAACGCUGACCGCCAAGAUAUCGCAAGAGUGACGGACAAGAUGAACAAGCUUUUGUACCAAGAGGAGAUGCUUUGGUUACAACGAUUGCGUAUCACGUGGUUGAAGGAGGGGGAUAGAAAUACAAAAUAUUUUCAAAGCAAAGCAGUCUAG